CCUACGGGUGGCAGCAGUGGGGAAUAUUGGACAAUGGGCGAAAGCCUGAUCCAGCCAUGCCGCGUGUGUGAAGAAGGCCUUCGGGUUGUAAAGCACUUUCAGUGGGGAAGAAAGCCUUGGGGCUAAUACCCUCGAGGAAGGACAUCACCCACAGAAGAAGCACCGGCUAACUCCGUGCCAGCAGCCGCGGUAAUACGGAGGGUGCGAGCGCUAAUCGGAAUUACUGGGCGUAAAGCGCGCGUAGGCGGUCUGAUAAGCCGGUUGUGAAAGCCCCGGGCUCAACCUGGGAACGGCAUCCGGAACUGUCAGGCUAGAGUGCAGGAGAGGAAGGUAGAAUUCCCGGUGUAGCGGUGAAAUGCGUAGAGAUCGGGAGGAAUACCAGUGGCGAAGGCGGCCUUCUGGACUGACACUGACGCUGAGGUGCGAAAGCGUGGGUAGCAAACAGGAUUAGAUACCCCAGUAGUC
This 465-nucleotide ribosomal RNA is filed under the name Vreelandella stevensii. RNAcentral's name for it is "partial 16S ribosomal RNA". It matches the Rfam family "Bacterial small subunit ribosomal RNA", at positions 338 to 795 of the family's 1533-position model. The record is from RNAcentral. Lineage: Bacteria; Pseudomonadati; Pseudomonadota; Gammaproteobacteria; Oceanospirillales; Halomonadaceae.